CCUACGGGUGGCAGCAGUCGAGAAUCAUUCACAAUGGGGGAAACCCUGAUGGUGCGACGCCGCGUGGGGGAAUGAAGGUCUUCGGUUUGUAAACCCCUGUCAUGUGGGAGCAAAUUAAAAAGAUCGUACCACAAGAGGAAGAGACGGCUAACUCUGUGCCAGCAGCUGCGGUAAUACAGAGGUCUCAAGCGUUGUUCGGAUGCACUGGGCGUAAAGGGUGCGUAGGCGGUUUCGUAAGUCUGGUGUGAAAGGCGCGGGCUCAACCAGCGAACGGCACAUGAUACUGCGAGACUAGAGUAGUGGAGGGGGAACAGGAAUUCGCGGUGUAGCAGUGAAAGGCGUAGAUAUCAGGAGGAACACUCGUGGCGAAGGCGGGUUCCUGGACAUUAACUGACGCUGAGGCACGAAGGCCAGGGGAGCGAAAGGGAUUAGAUACCCCAGUAGUC
Molecule: ribosomal RNA, 446 nt
Filed under: uncultured bacterium
Lineage: Bacteria
Description: partial 16S ribosomal RNA
Rfam family: Bacterial small subunit ribosomal RNA
Source: RNAcentral